AAGUCGUAACAAGGUCUCCGUUGGUGAACCAGCGGAGGGAUCAUUACAGAGUUACCAAAACUCCCAAACCCAUGUGAACAUACCUCGCGUUGCCUCGGCAGGUGGCGUCCUACCCCGUGAGACCUACCCUGUAGGACCUACCCGGUAGGCGACCCUGCCGACGGCCCCCGAAACUCUGUUUUUAUAGCAUUGGACUUCUGAAAAGAUAACUAAAUAAGUUAAAACUUUCAACAACGGAUCUCUUGGUUCUG
RNAcentral lists this unclassified non-coding RNA (251 nucleotides) under Nemania aenea. RNAcentral's name for it is "partial internal transcribed spacer region". The stretch from base 1 to 46 matches the Rfam family "Eukaryotic small subunit ribosomal RNA", at positions 1786 to 1831 of the family's 1831-position model. Lineage: Eukaryota; Fungi; Ascomycota; Sordariomycetes; Xylariales; Xylariaceae. The record is from RNAcentral.